RNAcentral lists this ribosomal RNA (797 nucleotides) under bacterium enrichment culture. RNAcentral's name for it is "bacterial SSU rRNA". It matches the Rfam family "Bacterial small subunit ribosomal RNA", at positions 8 to 841 of the family's 1533-position model. The record is from RNAcentral.
AGAGUUUGAUCAUGGCUCAGGAUGAACGCUGGCGGCGUGCCUAAUACAUGCAAGUCGAGCGGUAAGGCCCUUCGGGGUACACGAGCGGCGGACGGCUGAGUAACACGUAGGAACGUACCCCAAAGUGAGGGAUAAGCACCAGAAAUGGUGUCUAAUACCGCAUGUGCUCUAAGGAGUAAAGCUCCGGCGCUUUGGGAACGGCCUGCGCAUGAUUAGCUAGAUGGUGAGGUAAUGGCUCACCAUGGCGACGAUCAUUAGCUGGUCUGAGAGGAUGAUCAGCCAGACUGGGACUGAGACACGGCCCAGACUCCUACGGGAGGCAGCAGUAGGGAAUUUUCCACAAUGGGCGAAAGCCUGAUGGAGCAACGCCGCGUGCAGGAUGAAUGCCUUCGGGUUGUAAACUGCUUUUAUAUGUGACGAAUAUGACGGUAGCAUAUGAAUAAGGAUCGGCUAACUCCGUGCCAGCAGCCGCGGUCAUACGGAGGAUCCAAGCGUUAUCCGGAAUUACUGGGCGUAAAGAGUUGCGUAGGCGGCAUAGUAAGCAGAUAGUGAAAGCGUGUGGCUCAACCAUACUCACAUUAUCUGAACUGCUAAGCUAGAGGACGAGAGAGGUCACUGGAAUUCCUAGUGUAGGAGUGAAAUCCGUAGAUAUUAGGAGGAACACCAAUGGCGUAGGCAGGUGACUGGCUCGUUCCUGACGCUCAGGCACGAAAGCGUGGGGAGCGAACCGGAUUAGAUACCCGGGUAGUCCACGCCGUAAACGAUGGAUACUAGCUGUCGGGGGUAUCGACCCCCUC